Long non-coding RNA from Dicentrarchus labrax (European seabass), 4442 nucleotides. RefSeq lists it as uncharacterized. The transcript is spliced from 3 exons. Lineage: Eukaryota; Metazoa; Chordata; Actinopteri; Moronidae. The record is from RefSeq and is a predicted model, not a curated record.
UAUUUUUCAUGUGAUAAUUGAGGUGGUCUUGUGUUAUUUAUUGAGGAUUUAUCUGCAUACUAAAAUAGAAAAUGACAUCAAACAACUUCAUAUAAUCUAAUUAGGAAGGGUCUUCUUUCAAACACUUCACUUUUUCAAGUUCUUCAGGUGUAGAGUAGCACACAGACAGAACACGCAGUCGUGAGACAGUGUCGGUGUGUGUUGCGUAGCUGUCCUUCAGUAGGAGAUGAGCCUGGGGUAAGAACAUGGUUGUAAUCCUGGCCUAGUUUAGCAGCAAUCCCAGGAUUGGGGUCAGGGACCAGUAGUAGAAAGUGCAGUGUGGACAGAAGUGUUCCCUCAAUACUCUUGUGUGUUGUGUAAUAUUUAUAACCUUGAUUAUGAACUCUGGAUUGCCUUAAAGCAUUAUAUAGUACACACUGCGUUAUAUUUAUGAUGGCUAAGUGGCUGUAGACAAAAUGUUGUUUGUUAAUAAGAUAUGUCUAUUAAAGUCAGUUUCCUUAAGUGGUAAAUGUUAUUAAAGAUUGUUAGUAUCAAGUUACGAUGUAAUGUACACUGUAGUCUGUAAGCAAGUGUCAGGAUCACAGGCAAGUAAUUCACUCAGUUACCUCCCAUAAAAAUACAUUUUCUUUAUUUAGGUCAUCAUUGUACACAUGGAGCGCAUGAAGAGGCAAGCUUUAAAUUACUGACCAUAAAGAAAAUAAAGUCUAUUUAAAAAUGUUAAUGGGUAUUUCCACAGCAUAUUAGAGGUAUUUAUCACCUAAUGUUACAUCAUCUCUGAUACACCCACUCUUUCUUUCCAUAUGUGGAAUACAUGAUAAAAACCAUAUCUCGAUCAUUUAAGGGAAUAAGAAACAACUUGAUGACUCAUUUGCCAGUGCUCACUAAUUUUACUAUUUUAAAAAAUAAGCAUCUAUAUUUCAACUAGAAAAAUAUUUUUUUAUAUAUUUACAGGGAGGAAGGAAAUAUGUACAAGUCAUUACAAGAAGUCGUUCUUUUGUCUCAAACAGCUUCACUGUGUGUCUGCAGAAAUUAAUGCAGAUGCACGAUGGACUAGUGUUUAACACUAAACUAGGACAACAGUCCUGGUUUGUAGAGUUUGCCUGUUCUCAUUUAUGUUCCCAUUUCCUCUCAUAUCAUUGUUAGCUAUUGUAAAAUACUCUUAAUAUUGCCCUUGAACAAGACACUGGCCUCAGGACUGUAGUUAGUCCUUGGAUGGAGCACUAGGGCUGACCCCUGCUUCUAUUUAGGAUGGGAUCAUUGCAAUGGAUUAAUGUCUCUUUAGGGAUUAAUAUGCGCUAACUUUUUGCAGCAUUUGGAGAGAGAUGGUUGCUCCUGCUACCAUAUAAUGUUUAAACUAACUGGAAUUACCACUGAGGUCCAGUCAUUCAGUUCAGCUAAAGUUAAUCUUGAAUGUACUAAUUUCCAGAGUAGUAACUCAGUUUCAAUGUGCUCUUACUUAAUAAGACAUUUGUAAUUGUGUAUUCAUAAAAUAUAAUUACAUUUUCAGCAACUCUCAGAUGUAUGUACAGUAUGAAGGCAUCAUGAGGAAGCAACUAGAGGCUUGUAUGUGGACAGUUAAAUGUCUAUGCUGUCGCCCUAAUAAUUACAUAAAGUAAUCAUACUCUAUAAAAUGCAUCCUUUACUGCAGCGGUCUUGAGCUUGUCAUCUACCUUUGGCUCUUUGCAAUCAAGGUAAACAAACUCUCAGUUGUAAAUGGUAAGUGACUGGAAGGAGUGAAAAUGAAAUGAUCAUUUUGAAAUAUUGGAAUAUAUGUACAAUAGAUCAGUGAUAGUUCUAUCUACCUGCAUUUACAUGCUGAAACUUUAAAUGAAUAUUACAUUAAUGUACAAUAUACUGUAUGUUAUAUAUACAGUCUACAGUGACUUGGGCUUUGCAGAAGAGAAUUACUUGAAUAGUGUGUUCACUCUUACAUAGAACAUACUGUACGUGGGUAUCACUUACUACACAGCUGUUUCAUAACUACUGUAAAGAAACAGUGAAAAGACAUAUAAAAGUUUCUCCCACAACAAACAAGCUCACACACACACAUACACGUAGAAUCUGUCCAUCUGCACUAACAAUCCUCAAAAUAUAAGGAAACUGGUAGUGUAUGAGGUUGAGUGAAAACCUGAGAUUCAAACUCUUGAUUCAUAUUUUAUAACGUUGUUUCUGUUGUUCCUCAGUGAGGUUUUCCGUUGUGUGUUUGUGUCCCUUAAAGAUAAAUCUUUGCUCUUCUUGGUGAGGACCCUCUUCUUGUUCAGGUGUUUUCUGAUCGGAACCAGUUUUUCUGAAGAAAUACUACGGGGCUGUGCAUUCACUCAUGUAUCCGUCUUCCUGACCUUAUUGCAUUUUUUCCUUGGCGAUGAGGCUGACUGUCAACUGUGGUGCUCAGGUGAUUCUGAAUUCAACCUGUCAAGAGCCGUCUGGGUGCACUCCCAUCGUGUGAACAGCUUUUUGACCUUUUUAGCAUACUGAGCAGGUCUUGGAGCCUCCUCCACCACCACUGGGGUUGUUUGCAGCUGAUGGACAAAGACACAUCAAAGAAACAAGUAAAUAUAUUUGUGGAUUAUGGGGAUGAUGGUACUUGACCUAAAGAGAGUAACAAAAUGGCAUGCAAUUGCACAAAUGACUAUGAUUGGGCAAAUAUAAUUGCAGUGGUUCUGAUAUAUUUCAUAGUUGUGUGAUCAUUCCAAAGAAUUGCAGCACCUUUACUGGCUGUGGUUGCCUCUUUAGCUGCCUUCUCUUCUUCUAUGGCUUUCAGUUUAGCUUCAUACUCUUCUUUUUUAGCAUUCCACUCCUUCCUGUUAUUCAGGAUGCCGUCCAGCAUGGGCUGGAUUUGUGGGUGGAAGCGAGAAAACUCCUGAGAAGAAAAGAGUGAGUGAGUGAAUGGUUUUUAUUUAGCUAUGGACUUAUAGUAGUUCCAGCUAAAUAAAAAGGGAAUUAUGUAUAAAUAUACACAAAAACAGAGCAAGAAACCGCCAAAUAUAUACUAAAUAAAUUAUUUGCUGAGAAUAAGCGUGUACUGUUUAGUUCAUUAGACUAAAUGCAAUAUUAAACAUUACCUUGUAGACAAAUGUGCAGACAAAGUCAAUGAAACCACACUGUAGCUUGGGAAGCUCUGCUGCCUUGUUCCUGUCCAUCAUGGGCUGGUGGGAAGGACAGGAAGAGUUUGAGACACUUAAAAACAUCAUAUUAACAUCCAACAAAUCAGUAAUUACAGCUGCUGUUUAAAGGUCCAGUGUCUAACAUUUAGGAGGAUCAAUUCCAAGAAUGGAAUAUAAUAUUAUUCAUUAGUAUUCAUUAGUGUACAAUCAACUGAAAAUAAGAAUCUAAAAAAAGAAACCACCAGGUUUCUACAGUUGCCCAGAACGGACAAACCAAGCAGUGGCUCUACAUAAAGCCUUUCACAGGUUUCGUGGCCACAGUAGUUUCUCCUACAUGCUUGGAAGGCGAGUGUUAUUCAGCUUGUUGCAACUGGUCUACACAGUGGUCCUUUAAGUGACUGGGAGUGGUAAGACUUCUGGCUUUCUAUGUUUCUACAUCAGUACUGUUACAAUACAACUUUUUGCCAUCAGCGGCAGCACUGAACACAAUGCUGCUGACCACCUCCAGUGCGUUUGGAAGAACACCUUCUUGAAUUUUAUUUGUUGCACCGAGUAUGAAAUCACCUGCGCAGUCAUGUUUUUUAUACCAUCAUCAACCAUGUUUUCCAGAUAUGAUUCUGAUAAGUUUACAUAUCCUAUGAUGAGUUUAUGUUUUUAACAUUCCUGUUUAAUAAGCACAGAGCCUGAAAUAGUCUCAACACACUUAAUAUUUGUGUUGUUGUAGAUUGGUUAAAGAUACAGUCACAUUUAUGGUGUUCUGUCUAUAUGGAUGUAUCAGUCUACAGCCCUUGUUGGUGCAUGUGUCAACAAGGCAAUCGUUUGAAACUGCAGUUAACAGCAGUUCAACAAACAAAAUACAACAAAAAAUAAAUUAUCAUCCUUAGUGCCCUAUACCACACCACAUAUACCCUACACAGUUAUUUACUGAUACUACAACAUGUCCUGUCACAUGUUCAUAUUUCACACAAAUAGAAAUAUAACUCACAAUAGGUUGUUGUUCCAGGACUGUCCUCUCCAGGUCACCCUGCUCCCAAAACUCUGCUGCUACAGACAAGGCAACCUGAAAGAUACACACACCCACAGUCAUCUGUAGAAAAGCAGAUCACGAACACUCAAGACAUGAAGUCAACCCACUUCUUUUCAUCCUCAUAUGUGUGUGAAAGGUCCACGAUCUUCUGGAACAUGGUUCUUUUCCUAGCAAGAUCACCUCUUGAGGGACCUGGAACUUCUUGACCACCCCGACCUCAUAGUACAUCUGGAUCCCGCACUUCACUAGUUCCAUCUCUGUGCAGUUAGAAUCUGCAAAGUGGAACUCGUAGAUCUCAAACUUCUUGAUCA